UGGGGAAUAUUGGACAAUGGGCGAAAGCCUGAUCCAGCCAUGCCGCGUGUGUGAAGAAGGUCUUCGGAUUGUAAAGCACUUUAAGUUGGGAGGAAGGGCAAUAACCUAAUACGUUAGUGUUUUGACGUUACCGACAGAAUAAGCACCGGCUAACUCUGUGCCAGCAGCCGCGGUAAUACAGAGGGUGCAAGCGUUAAUCGGAAUUACUGGGCGUAAAGCGCGCGUAGGUGGUUUGUUAAGUUGGAUGUGAAAUCCCCGGGCUCAACCUGGGAACUGCAUUCAAAACUGACUGACUAGAGUAUGGUAGAGGGUGGUGGAAUUUCCUGUGUAGCGGUGAAAUGCGUAGAUAUAGGAAGGAACACCAGUGGCGAAGGCGACCACCUGGACUAAUACUGACACUGAGGUGCGAAAGCGUGGGGAGCAAACA
RNAcentral lists this ribosomal RNA (427 nucleotides) under uncultured bacterium. RNAcentral describes it as "partial 16S ribosomal RNA". It matches the Rfam family "Bacterial small subunit ribosomal RNA", at positions 355 to 774 of the family's 1533-position model. The record is from RNAcentral.